CUUGUCCUCAAGUGGUCCGCGCACCUCGGCCUCCCAAAGUGCUGCGAUUACAGGGGCAUGAGGAGCUCGACCGUCUGGCCAGGGAGAAGGAUGCAGUGCUGGUGGCGGUGAAGGGAGCCCACGUGGAGCAGCUGCAGGAGCUGCAGACCAGGGUUCUGGAGCUGCAGGCCCACUGCGAGACCCUCGAGGCGCAGCUCCGCAGGGCAGAGUGGAGACAGGCUGACACCGCCAAGGAGAAGGACGCUGCCAU
This 250-nucleotide long non-coding RNA is filed under the name Homo sapiens (human). RNAcentral's name for it is "HSALNT0246423". Lineage: Eukaryota; Metazoa; Chordata; Mammalia; Primates; Hominidae. The record is from RNAcentral.